This is an RNA transcript of Xenopus tropicalis (tropical clawed frog), 3983 nucleotides long. It is a transcript of the gene named metallophosphoesterase 1, with no coding region annotated. The record is from RefSeq and is a predicted model, not a curated record. The transcript has 11 exons. Lineage: Eukaryota; Metazoa; Chordata; Amphibia; Anura; Pipidae.
CGGAAGCGGGGCUCGGCGAGGGAGAGGAGAACCGGAAAUGUUUGCGUUCCAAAGUGGCUGUCAUACGAAUUGCUCGACAUUCAGCUAUUCUAUGUUCUCUGAGAAUCCAGUAUGUGUGUGGGAGUGGGGAGGCCCGGUGGGACACUGUAUCGGUAGCUUCUCACUCCUCUCCUCUCCUCUGACUGACCACAGUGGCACUUAGUAUUCUGGGGGACUGCAUACCAUGAAAGGGUUGCCCUGAAAUAUUGGAAACCAACCUACACUACCAGGUGAGAGUUUUAUAACAAUACAACUUCAAUGAGUCUGGUGUCUGGCUGGCAAAGUGACGCCCAUGGAUGUAGUUCUUACAGAAAGGAAAGAUGAUGUUCAACCCCAUGGUUUCCCUGAGAACUGGCUUCAGCAAGAAGAGGACAGCUUAUCUAAAAACAAGGCUUUUUUUUCUCUGUUCCAUUUUUGGUUCAAUUUUGCUUGUAUUUUUCUUCUGUGAGUUUUUGGUGUACUACCUUGUUAUAGUUAAGUGCAGCUGGCCAGAAGUGAAAGGAGCACACAAGGAGGACAGUACUCCGGUUCUCAAAGCUAUGUUCUUGGCAGACACACAUCUUCUUGGUGAAAUCAGGGGUCACUGGUUUGAUAAACUGAGGAGGGAAUGGCAAAUGGAGAGGUCUUACCAGAGUGCCCUCUGGUUGCUGCAGCCAGAUGUUGUCUUCAUUCUAGGAGAUAUAUUUGAUGAAGGCAAAUGGAGCAUUCCAGAGGCCUGGAGUCGUGAUGUUGUUCGCUUUCAGAAGAUGUUCCGGCAUCCUCCUCACACAGAACUAAUAGUUCUAGUUGGGAAUCAUGACAUAGGCUUUCAUUAUGACAUGAAUAUCUAUAAGUUAAGCCGAUUUGAGAAAACUUUCAAUUUUACUUCUGGAAAAUUAGUAUCUCUCAAAGGCAUCAACUUUGUCCUGUUGAACAGCGUGGCUCUGGAGGGGGAUGACUGUGACAUUUGCAGAGCAGCAGAGAAUCAGCUUGAAAGAAUUUCUACCAAGCUCAGUUGCUCCAGGAUGAGGGAACAUCCUGAUUUUCGAAAGAAGUGCAAAAAUGUUGAAAAGACACCCAUGUCAGCACCAAUCCUUCUGCAGCACUAUCCUCUGUAUCGGUUCAGUGACUUGGAAUGCACUGGGGAGGAUUCUGCUUCUCCAGAAGAAAAGAAAGUGCUUUUCAGAGAGAAAUAUGAUGUACUUUCACAAGAUGCAUCUAAAAAGAAGCAGAUCCAACCAAAAAUGGUCCUACAUCUAGUGGAAAACCCUUCUAGAAGAGCAGCAAACGCUGUUUUAUCAGCACUGCAGCUAAAGGAAAACUAUACCCCAGAAUGAAUACUUGACCAACAAAUUAUGUUGUAACAGUUUAUAUGAAGUUAAGUGACCUCUAUCAGUAGAUAUUGCCCUUUUACAUCCUUUCCCUUGCUCCACCAUUUAGUCAUGGACUGUGUGCUGAUGGGGCCUAGCAUGUAUGUGUGCCCUUGGUUUGUUUGUGUGCACUGUGAAUCCUAUGAUCCCAGGAGGUAAUUUUAGGUUUACUCAAGUGCAAAUACUACUAACAAAAAGUAUAUUUUUAUGAAAAUGUUUCAUUUAGAUGAAGCAGGGUUUUACAUAUGAUCCGGGUUAUGCAAUAGAUUUUUAUAAAGACCUACAUUGUUUGGGGGGGGGGGGGGGGGGAUAUAGUUUUUCUUUAAAUUCACAUGCAUGGAAAACAAAAGGCAGUACAGAGCAUGGACACUUUUGGGAGGAAGUGAAUAGGAGCAGCAUUAGGCACUCAUGGGUAGUUUUCAGCAGGUUCAUAAAAUGUAUGCCAUUAGGCGAACACCUCUGGUUCUGGAACGUGAUAUGUUAGACAGGUUUCCAGAUGGUUUUGCCAAUAAAAUGAGUUUGCCAAGCAAAAGUGUGCAACACUGCAGUGCUGUGGUUUAAGGUACAGUAUACUAUAUUCAUUUUAUUGAUGAUGAUAAAGUCCUUGUGUCAAGUAUUAAGACGGGCAUACACGGGCAGAUUUAAGCUGCCGAGUAGAGUCCUUUAGGCUGAUUUGACAGUAUACUUGCCCAUGUAUGGGGCCCUGGCCCACCUCACCAAGAUCUGACUGAAAAUUGGCCAGGUGUCGAUUGGACAGGUUUGAUUUUCCCGUCAUAUCGGGGACCACAUUGGCUCAUUGAUGCAAUCUUCGAUUUGAUGGCCCUAGGGCCAAAUGAUUGAAUAAACCUGAUAUAGCCCACCAUAGAUGGGCAUAUUGGGAGGAGAUCUGCUUGUUGCCAAGAGAGUGGAUCUCAACGUGUAUGACCAACCAUAGAAUAGUGCCAGUUUGUGCAUGCAUGUUGCGUAGAAGGUUGGGCUUUCCCUGUAUGUAUUGCCUGUUUCAAAGCUUAUUUUCUGCACCUGGAUGCAUUGCAUACUACUGAGUGGCAGGACACAUCAUAUACUGAUUAUUCUUUAUACAGUGUCUGUGCUUGUGUGACAUUCUCUCUGUGUGAUUGCAUAGUUGCUGCAGUUGUUACAGCCACGGCUCAUACUGAGUGGCCAUACACACAGUGCCUGCGAAGUGCUCCACCAAGGCAAAAUUCCUGAGAUAAGUGUCCCUUCCUUCAGCUGGAGAAACCGCAACAACCCAAGCUUCAUCAUGGGGAGCAUCACAGCAGCCAAUUAUUCGCUUGCAAAGUGUUUCCUCCCGAAAGAGAAUAUGAUAAUCUAUAUCUACUGUACGGUGGGCACGCUGUUCACUAGCUAUGUAUUGGCAUGUCUGUGGGCUUGCACCAUUCAGAGGAUUCACUCAGGAAGGAAAAUAAAGCUGGUAUGAAGAGGAACAUGGCACAGAGAGGCAUCUUUCUCCUAGCCUGGUCAGGAGACCCCAAGCAUGGGCAGACAUUUUCCUCUCAAAUAAAGCAGGACAUAUGACCAAAUGUAUAUUUAUUAAAUGUUGCAUCUGUACAAUGUGUGGGUUUAUUUGUAACUUGAAGGAAGUAUAGCCCCUUCUUAGCACUAAAGCAGGUGACAAGCACACAUUGCUAUGUAACUUGUUGGAUCAGCCCAUGCUCAGUGGUUUCUUUUCCCCCCCCUCCCCACUGUAUUUUUUUUUUUUUCCCAAUAACAUAAAAAAAAAAAGUAUAUUUGAGGUCACAUGAUAUGGUUUUAUAAGAAUAAAUGUAAUUGUCUGUGAUGUUUAUUUUUAUGGAGCUCUUAAAAUAUCAGUCUCUGUAAAAUGGGAAAAACCAAGCAGGGGGUGGUGGAACUAGAAAUAUAAAACACUAUUUAUAAUAGGAAAGCCACCCAUAUGCCAUAAUGAAUGAAAAUAAAAUUACAAUUUUUUUUUUUUGGUUGUAGUGAUAUCUGUAAAUGCAGUUGCUGUGAUAUCAGCAGCAUAUCUAUCCCUUUCUAUUCUCUACACUGCUGGUUUUGAGUCUUGAAACUGAAAUGUAGCAGAAACCAUCUGACUGACAGACCUAUGAAGAAACAUACAGGACACCUUGGAAGAGAAGAGCUGGCUUCUGCAAUGCUAUUUCAAGAAUUAAGAAUGAGCAGCAGUUGCAAUUACACUUGAAAAUAAUUUCAGCUUUGACUGAAUGUAUAUAGGAAAGCUGCUUUGACAUUUCGCGUGUGCGUGAACAAUGGGGUGGAGUUCCGCUUUCUAAGAAAAUCAUAGUAUCCAGCAUUUCUCCUGUGCUCCCAUUGCCAAGUUACAGGCUGCACUGCUGGUGUCUCUCAUGUCUGGGAAUGGGAUUCAAAACAGACCCUGGCAUUUCAAGUACACAGAGGCCCAAACAGCCCCCACCAGCCCAAUAAAUAGUGACAGUCUGUGGCAUCUUACAGCAGCCCCUCUGGCAUUAGCCUGGUGUCUGUGCACAGGAGGAGGUAUUCUAUGUAACAAAGAGAUAAAGCCCUUACAUACAUGGAUCAUUUAUAAACACUGGGCAGCUGAUGGCACCCAGUCACAUUUGACAUUUAUUGUGGGGGGGG